GCGACCCCAGGUCAGGCGGGACYACCCGCUGAGUUUAAGCAUAUCAAUAAGCGGAGGAAAAG
This 62-nucleotide ribosomal RNA is filed under the name Oxalis linearis. Its description in RNAcentral is "partial 26S ribosomal RNA". It matches the Rfam family "Eukaryotic large subunit ribosomal RNA", at positions 1 to 61 of the family's 3401-position model. Lineage: Eukaryota; Viridiplantae; Streptophyta; Magnoliopsida; Oxalidales; Oxalidaceae. The record is from RNAcentral.